ACACACCAUCCUGGUUCUCGUGCCUUUCCUGUCCCCUGAGUAUGGCCAUUCCCCAAAGUUCCAUUCUCGAUCUCGGCCCUUUGUUGUUGUCACUCGAUGCUCUCUCCCUCCUGGAACGGAUCCUCUCCCACGGUUCAGCUCUCAACCCUGCGCAUGCACAUGAUCCCCAGAUCCCGGUCUCUGGCUCCUCCCUCCACAUAAGAGACCGUCCGGGUCCUGGGCAUUUCUGCUUCAGUGUCCCACAGCCCUCUCACGUGUCCACGGCCGGACUUCUCUCCCCUCGCCCAAUGUGUCGGUCCAUUGGCCGAGGGGUGGGCUCCAGGUUGACCGCCAGAGAGGAUCAUGGUAGACUGCGGUCAGUUUCCUCAUCUGUAAAAGGAGGUGAUGUGACUCCCUGGCCGUUGAGGUCCUCCCAGCUCUAAAUGGAUGAUCCCGCGAUGCCCUGUGGACGUCCUGCCUUUCCAGGUCCUCACUGAGCCCCUCAGCUCCCGUGAUCUCUCAGCUAUGGCCAGGAAAGAAAGGCAGAACUUCAGGCACCCGGCAAGCCCCGGUACUGGAUCGCUAGAGCCCCGCCCCCCCUGCUCCCCGGAAGAGCCUCGCCCAGAUCUAGCUGCACCCUGGGAAGCCCCAGGCGGUCACACACAGGCUCGACACCUGCUUGUUGAUUGCUUAAAAGGUGCGAACUGAUCUAGAAGAAUCCGUCCGCGGCGUCUGCGCAGAGAAGGCACAUCCAAGGCCAGCAGCUCUGGUAUUCCCAAGAAAGAGACCUGAUUUGUCUGUCUCGGCCCGGGACUCUCGCCUCUCCCUCCCGCCCCACCGGCUGGAUUGCCUAGUUAUGGCGCUGCUCAGCUGGAACUCCCUCCCGGCUGGCCUGCCACCAGGAACUUCCAUGGACUUUCCUGGGCAGCAGCAGCCACUCUGAUCCGCCCUAGUCGGCUCCCCCUUCCCGACGUCCUCCUCUCCGUUCAUGGCACCCCCCCCCCCACCAGCUCAGACCACCCGAAGGCUCUCAGACUCCUCCCCCUCCCCACCCCACAGAUCUGAUUCGAUCUCAUCAGUCACCAAGUUCUGCCCUUCCUUUCGACGUCUCUCCAAUUUCAGCUUCCCUUCGAUCCCCCUCACACACCCGAGGCCCUCCGCGCUUCACGCCUGGCUUAUUGCAAUCCCUUCCAGCAUCUCCCCCGUCUAAUUAGUCUGCCUGAUUAGUCAUCUGAAGGCUGAGCAGCAACAGCUCUUUGUACCCUUUCCCUCUGCUCCAUCCGGGGGGCUGGAGGGAGAGGAAAGAGGAGGAGGGGAAGAGGUGGAAGAGAUGGGACAGAGAGAAGAGGAGAGGAAGGGAGAAAGAACAGGAGAGAGACAGAUGGAGAAAGAGACAGAGAAAGAAAGACAGAGACAAAGAAACAGAGGGAGACAGGGAACGAGACAGAGAUAGGGAGAAAGAGAGCGAUGGAGAGAGAAAGAGAGACAGAGAGAAAAGGAGAGGAAGAGAGAAGGAACAGGAGAGAGACAGGGAAAGAGACAGAGAUAGGGAGAAAGACAGAGAGAGAGAAGAGGAGAAGAAGGGAGAAGGAACAGGAGAGAGACAGAUGGAGAAAGAGACAGAGAAAGACGGAGACAGACAAAAAGACACAGAGAGAGACAGACAGAGACAGGGAGAAAGGGAGAGAGAGAGUCAAAGAGACAGACAGAGAGAGGAGAGAGGACAAAAGCAGAGUGCUAAGGUUAGGAAGACCUGGGCUCUACUCCCUCAUUUUAUAGCUGAAGAAACUGAGGCCCCUAGACUAUAGAAUUUGGACAUGGCAGGGAUAAGCUUUGCAAUUAGACCCAACUUCUCUGGCUUCUGAGCUCUUUCUGCGGCACCUUGACAGCAUUCUCCUGGGUUGGAAUCUGGGCUGGUAGAGGAAGUCCCCCCCAUCAGGAGUUCCUGGCUCCUUCACAUGUAAAUGUACAUAUAUCUGUUACAAUACACAUAUAAAACAUGCUUGUCUGUGUGGAUUGUGCACACACGUGCACUAUAGUCUCUUGUGUGUAAACAUUCUACACAGACACACAUGUGUGACAUACACACACACAUGCAUUUAUGUAUAAACUCCUUCCUAAGAAAUAGCCGGGGUGCAGGGGAUGAAAAGCUUCCUGGAGUGACAGAACACUUGGGUCCAAGUCCCGUGCCCAAUCAAUCCUGGCUCACCCAGGGCCACAAGGGUCUCAAAGACUUGAAGUUGCCAAGUAGGGGCAGUUCUGCAUUGUUAGAGGGAGUUUCCACACCAGGAGGCCCUUCUAUGGAGGUCUGAUAAUAAAACCGAACCUCAACCCGCCCGACA
This is a long non-coding RNA of Monodelphis domestica (gray short-tailed opossum), 2321 nucleotides long. The record is from Ensembl. NCBI's taxonomy places the organism in Eukaryota, Metazoa, Chordata, Mammalia, Didelphimorphia, Didelphidae.